AGAGUUUGAUCCUGGCUCAGGAUGAACGCUGGCGGCGUGCCUAACACAUGCAAGUCGAACGGACUUAAUUUGAAACCUAGUGAUAAUUAAGUGAGUGGCGGACGGGUGAGUAACGCGUGGAUAACCUGCCGUAUGCAGGGGGAUACCAACUGGAAACAGUUGCUAAUACCACAUAAGCGCACGGUGUCGCAUGACACAGUGUGAAAAGGUUUAACGGCAUACGAUGGAUCCGCGUCCGAUUAGCCAGUUGGCGGGGCAACGGCCCACCAAAGCAACGAUCGGUAGCCGGCCUGAGAGGGCGGACGGCCACAUUGGGACUGAGACACGGCCCAAACUCCUACGGGAGGCAGCAGUGGGGAAUAUUGCACAAUGGGGGAAACCCUGAUGCAGCGACGCCGCGUGAGUGAAGAAGUAUUUCGGUAUGUAAAGCUCUAUCAGCAGGGAAGAAAGGUGCCCCUUGGGCGCCUGGACGGUACCUGACUAAGAAGCCCCGGCUAACUACGUGCCAGCAGCCGCGGUAAUACGUAGGGGGCAAGCGUUAUCCGGAUUUACUGGGUGUAAAGGGAGCGUAGACGGCAGAGCAAGUCCGGAGUGAAAGCCCGGGGCCCAACCCCGGGACUGCUCUGGAAACUGUUAAGCUGGAGUGCGGGAGGGGCAGGCGGAAUUCCUGGUGUAGCGGUGAAAUGCGUAGAUAUCAGGAGGAACACCGGUGGCGAAGGCGGCCUGCUGGACUGCGACUGACG
RNAcentral lists this ribosomal RNA (743 nucleotides) under uncultured bacterium. RNAcentral describes it as "bacterial SSU rRNA". It matches the Rfam family "Bacterial small subunit ribosomal RNA", at positions 8 to 745 of the family's 1533-position model. The record is from RNAcentral.